This 850-nucleotide ribosomal RNA is filed under the name bacterium PD106. RNAcentral describes it as "bacterial SSU rRNA". It matches the Rfam family "Bacterial small subunit ribosomal RNA", at positions 71 to 921 of the family's 1533-position model. The record is from RNAcentral.
AUUUCUAGCUUGCUAGAAGAUGACGAGUGGCGGACGGGUGAGUAAUGCUUGGGAACUUGCCUUUGCGAGGGGGAUAACAGUUGGAAACGACUGCUAAUACCGCAUAAUGUCUUCGGACCAAACGGGGCUUCGGCUCCGGCGCAAAGAGAGGCCCAAGUGAGAUUAGCUAGUUGGUAAGGUAACGGCUUACCAAGGCGACGAUCUCUAGCUGUUCUGAGAGGAAGAUCAGCCACACUGGGACUGAGACACGGCCCAGACUCCUACGGGAGGCAGCAGUGGGGAAUAUUGCACAAUGGGGGAAACCCUGAUGCAGCCAUGCCGCGUGUGUGAAGAAGGCCUUCGGGUUGUAAAGCACUUUCAGUUGUGAGGAAAAGUUAGUAGUUAAUACCUGCUAGCCGUGACGUUAACAACAGAAGAAGCACCGGCUAACUCCGUGCCAGCAGCCGCGGUAAUACGGAGGGUGCGAGCGUUAAUCGGAAUUACUGGGCGUAAAGCGCACGCAGGCGGUUUGUUAAGCUAGAUGUGAAAGCCCCGGGCUCAACCUGGGAUGGUCAUUUAGAACUGGCAGACUAGAGUCUUGGAGAGGGGAGUGGAAUUCCAGGUGUAGCGGUGAAAUGCGUAGAUAUCUGGAGGAACAUCAGUGGCGAAGGCGACUCCCUGGCCAAAGACUGACGCUCAUGUGCGAAAGUGUGGGUAGCGAACAGGAUUAGAUACCCUGGUAGUCCACACCGUAAACGCUGUCUACUAGCUGUGUGUGCCUUUAAGGCGUGCGUAGCGAAGCUAACGCGCUAAGUAGACCGCCUGGGGAGUACGGCCGCAAGGUUAAAACUCAAAUGAAUUGACGGGGGCC